GGAGAGGUGCCAGAGUGGCCGAAUGGAGCUUCCUGCUAAGAAGUUGAUCCCGCAAGGGGUCCGUGGGUUCGAAUCCCACCCUCUCCG
RNAcentral lists this transfer RNA (87 nucleotides) under bacterium. RNAcentral describes it as "tRNA-Ser". It matches the Rfam family "tRNA". From Rfam's summary of the family: Transfer RNA (tRNA) molecules are approximately 80 nucleotides in length. Their secondary structure includes four short double-helical elements and three loops (D, anti-codon, and T loops). The record is from RNAcentral.